RNAcentral lists this ribosomal RNA (253 nucleotides) under uncultured bacterium. Its description in RNAcentral is "partial 16S ribosomal RNA". It matches the Rfam family "Bacterial small subunit ribosomal RNA", at positions 524 to 776 of the family's 1533-position model. The record is from RNAcentral.
UACGGAGGGGGCUAGCGUUGUUCGGAAUUACUGGGCGUAAAGCGCGCGUAGGCGGCUUUGUAAGUUAGAGGUGAAAGCCCGGAGCUCAACUCCGGAACUGCCUUUAAGACUGCAUCGCUAGAACGAUGGAGAGGUAAGUGGAAUUCCGAGUGUAGAGGUGAAAUUCGUAGAUAUUCGGAAGAACACCAGUGGCGAAGGCGACCCACUGGCCCGUUACUGACGCUGAGGCGCGAAGGCGUGGGGAGCAAACAGG